This 1378-nucleotide ribosomal RNA is filed under the name uncultured bacterium. Its description in RNAcentral is "16S ribosomal RNA". It matches the Rfam family "Bacterial small subunit ribosomal RNA". The record is from RNAcentral.
UUCGCCCUUAGAGUUUGAUCCUGGCUCAGGACGAACGCUGGCGGCGCGCCUAACACAUGCAAGUCGAACGAGCGAGAGAGAGCUUGCUUUCUCAAGCGAGUGGCGAACGGGUGAGUAACGCGUGAGGAACCUGCCUCAAAGAGGGGGACAACAGUUGGAAACGACUGCUAAUACCGCAUAAGCCCACGACCCGGCAUCGGGUAGAGGGAAAAGGAGCAAUCCGCUUUGAGAUGGCCUCGCGUCCGAUUAGCUAGUUGGUGAGGUAACGGCCCACCAAGGCGACGAUCGGUAGCCGGACUGAGAGGUAGAACGGCCACAUUGGGACCGAGACACGGCCCAGACUCCUACGGGAGGCAGCAGUGGGGAAUAUUGCACAAUGGGGGAAACCCUGAUGCAGCGACGCCGCGUGGAGGAAGAAGGUCUUCGGAUUGUAAACUCCUGUUGUUGAGGAAGAUAAUGACGGUACUCAACAAGGAAGUGACGGCUAACUACGUGCCAGCAGCCGCGGUAAAACGUAGGUCACAAGCGUUGUCCGGAAUUACUGGGUGUAAAGGGAGCGCAGGCGGGAAGACAAGUUGGAAGUGAAAUCCAUGGGCUCAACCCAUGAACUGCUUUCAAAACUGUUUUUCUUGAGUAGUGCAGAGGUAGGCGGAAUUCCCGGUGUAGCGGUGGAAUGCGUAGAUAUCGGGAGGAACACCAGUGGCGAAGGCGGCCUACUGGGACCAACUGACGCUGAGGCUCGAAAGUGUGGGUAGCAAACAGGAUUAGAUACCCUGGUAGUCCACACUGUAAACGAUGAUUACUAGGUGUUGGAGGAUUGGCCCCUUCAGUGCCGCAGUUAACACAAUAAGUAAUCCACCUGGGGAGUACGACCGCAAGGUUGAAACUCAAAGGAAUUGACGGGGGCCCGCACAAGCAGUGGAGUAUGUGGUUUAAUUCGACGCAACGCGAAGAACCUUACCGAGUCUUGACAUCCUGCGACGAUGCUGGAAACAGUAUUUUCCUUCGGGACGCAGAGACAGGUGGUGCAUGGUUGUCGUCAGCUCGUGUCGUGAGAUGUUGGGUUAAGUCCCGCAACGAGCGCAACCCUUAUGGUCAGUUACUACGCAAGAGGACUCUGGCCAGACUGCCGUUGACAAAACGGAGGAAGGUGGGGAUGACGUCAAAUCAUCAUGCCCUUUAUGACUUGGGCUACACACGUACUACAAUGGCGUUAAACAAAGAGAAGCAAGACCGCGAGGUGGAGCAAAACUCAGAAACAACGUCCCAGUUCGGACUGCAGGCUGCAACUCGCCUGCACGAAGUCGGAAUUGCUAGUAAUCGUGGAUCAGCAUGCCACGGUGAAUACGUUCCCGGGCCUUGUACACACCGCCCGUCA